UGUAAUUGAAUUCUUGCAUUGGUUUCAGCCCAAGAGAAAUAUAAAUCACCGACCCAAAAUAUAAAUACUCAACCUAGUUAUCUUCAUCUUUUUUCAUCACAAUUCCCAACCUUUUGGAGAGAGAUGAUCUUCCCUCUCUCUAAACCUGUCGCAGUCUCUGCCUUUGCCCGCCACGCCUCCUCCUCCUGCGAUCCUUCUCUCUCAAUAUCUUCUUUCUCUCAACCUCUCUAGUUAUCUCUCUCUUUCGGAUAUAUAUCUCUCUCGGCUUCUACCUCCAUUCCCAUUCCCCAGCUAACGCUGCUGCCUGCACUCGCCGGUCGUCGUCAGCCACAGCAUCGUCUGCCUCUUCGUCGUCCCCGCAAACUCGACCCUCACCUCAACACCGUCAGUCAUUCCGCCGUUGCUGCGGGCGGUGGUGGCCGCUGCUGCAUACGGUGGUUGACUACAGCCACUGCCCCACCUAAACAUGCCAUCGUCGACGUCUUCUUCGCUGCUCCACCGGGCGCUCACCCACCCGCCUGCCUCGCCGCAUUGCUCUACCUAUGUGCACAUUAAAAGACCAUAGCCAUUUCUCGCAGUUGGAUCUCCCUCUCUACAACUUAAGCUUUUGUAGCAAUGGUGCAUUUUUUUUAUAGAUAAUGCUCCGAAACUUCUCUUCUAAGCUAAAUUUUUUGGACGACCACUUUUUUUUUGGGAAGACCACUUUAGCUUUGCACAAAUGCAGUCAAUUCAUUUCUCUAUGUAUUUUUCUUCUCACAUUUUUCUACCACUUUCUAUUUUCCCUCCAAAAGGGGUAUUAAUGUCUUUUCACCACACUAGCACUUUAAAUUAGUAUAGAAUCAUUAGCCCAAUUUAAUCAAAUACACUCCCUCCCCAUCGGACUCUCUCUCCCAUUCUUAUUCUCAAAUCUGAAAAUGAAAUCCCUAAUCUUUGGAAUCAGCGGCGGGUUUCCUCACGGCUUCUCCGGAGAAAUCGCUGUCAUCCCUCCCCUCUCCGGCGAACUCACGCUCGGAAUGGCUUCUCUUCCUUCUGUCAAAAUCAAAGGUGGAGAGGAGGCGUCGCCUCUCUUCCACGGCGUCGCUGCCUGGUGAGCAGUCGUCUCUGACGGGCGCGUGCACUCUCUCCGGUGACACGCGGCUUCCCCGCCGUCGCAGCUGGGGCCCUGUAUCAGCUCUCUCUCUCUCCGGAGUGCAGCAGCUCCGGCCCAUUCUUGGCCUCCCUUUGACGGCGCCGACGCCAGCCUUCUCCCGCUGCUACUCCGACCGCGUCGCUUCUUCAAGCGAUCAAGCUAAGUCCCCUCCCUUUAUUCCCUUAAUUUCCGUUAAUUAUUUCGUAAAUUUUUGGAGUUCCCUAUUGGUGAUCCUUUUUGCUUGAAACUUGAGUACUCAAAGUUGGGGUUCAUACUGCUCAAUUCUAGUAGUGGAUAUUGCUGUAUUCGAAAAUUUCGGGUGCUCUUGCUCCCUGGAAUGAGCUUCUAAUUGUUGUGAUCGGGCUAGCCGUCGGCAUAAAAAGAUCACAUCUUGGCUAUUGAUGAGGCUUUCUAUGUUAUGAUUCUAAGUCCUUGAGCAUUUAUCCUACUACUGAUCUUGGAGAAAAAAAACACUUGUCUCACUAAGUCCUUGGACUAUCCUGUGGCUGUUCUAAUCGUGAUGCAAGAGUUGGUUUCGUGGGAUUACCUUAGUUCGGUGAACUUGGAUUUGCCCUCUUACUGCCACUGCCUCACGCUGCCUGUUCCUCCCUCCGUCGCACUCCACGCCUGAGAGUCUUGUGGCCGAAAGAGUGUGUGGAGGGAAGGGUGAUGGCUGCAUUUAUAGGCCAAAUUCUUUGGCUUCUUGUGGCAGAAUUUUGGGCAUUGGUGUUCCUAUUUUUGGCUACAAGUUUAGCUCCCUUUUGAGCUUUAUAACUGUGCUAUCUAUGCCUUCUUGGUGUAACUUGUGGGGCUGUUUGUAGGCUGACUUUCCAGCCUUGGAUUUGUGGGGAUUUGCCUUGCUCCUUUUGAGCUUAGGUGGUGAUCUCAUCUUGAGGUUUCUAUUGCCUCUUUUCCCAUAAUGGAAGAUUUGGAGGAUCUCGAUUCUUUUUCCCACUUUAAAAUUUGGCAGGGGUUGUUUGAUGGGGACAUAGCAUAUUUGGCAUUCUUACUAGAUUGAUGAAAAUAAUACUUAAUUUAUUCCAAAGUCGGAAAUUACAAUGAAAAUUCUACGCCUUCUAAACGUGAAUUAAUUAAGCUAAUAAAUUCGAUUUAUCUUGAAAGAAAGGAACGAAAUUCCUGGGCGUUACAUUAUCAUUGGCUGUGUCAUAUGCAAUAACCAUUAACAAAAUUCAAGGUCAAUCUCUAUCCCAUGUUAGAUUAUUUUUGAAAAAACCGAUCUUCAGUCAUGGACAACUUUAUGUUGCUAUAUCUAGAGUCACAAGUCGUGAAGGUUUGAAGAUUUUAGUUUCCGGGGAUGAAAAUGACAGUAGAAGUGAUUCUACUCUUAAUGUUGUUUACAAAGAAGUCUUUCAAAUUGUAUGAAUUACUUUCAAAUUGUAUGAAUUACUGGUCUCAAAGAGAUGUUUGUAACGAUUUUGUUGAGAAGAUGUUUGAAUUCUAUGUUUUGUUGAUCGAAAUUAUAAUGAACUAUUUAUUUUUUUCAAAUAAUUUUAUUUAUUUACUUUGGUAUUUAGUAUUUCUCAAUCUUUUAUUUGUAUAUCCUAUAUAAUUUCUAUUUCUUUCCCCCAUAUACUUUCAUUCCAGUGGAUUGAUAGAUUGAUAGAUGUAGAAAUAGAAGUAUGUUUCUUAAAUCUUUAUAAUUUUAUAAAUACAAUAUUUAAAUAGUUUCUAUUCUUGAUUUGCAAUAAUUUUUUACAUUUUUUUAUAUAUUCUUUAUUUUGAUUUAAUUCAUUUUAAAUAUAUUUUCUUAUUUUUUGAAAAUCAUUUGGUCUGUGUAUAUACGAUUUCAGAUACUUGGUAUCGGGUAUAUCCGAUUAAUGCUUGGUAUCUGGUGCGUGUAAAAUCUGCCGGACCUAGGAAAUGCAUAUAAUUUACCAGGGGCAGAGAAAAGGAGGAAAAUGAAGUGAAAAUGCCAACAAUUCACCAGACCAAGGUGAUGAAAAUGAAUGCUGGCAGAAUACAAAAAUGGAGCAAGAAGCAAAUAUAAAGAUGAAGGGCAAAAAAUACAAAAUAUGAAGAGAGAAUCCCCUAGGGAUUGCUUCCUAUAUAAAGGGAUGACUCCUUUUAGAACGAGAGCUCUUUCAACCUCCCUUUUUAGCAUUUUACACUUAGUCCCCUUAGCUCCAUACUCAAAUCAUAGUUCACUUCACCUCACACGCACUUGGCACUUAUGGGGUGACUUCAGGCUACUGCGGUGGUUCUUAGCUAGUUUCUGUGGUGUAACACCGUCCUUGCGAGGGCGAAGAUACAAUUUGCUUUAAAUUUCCGUUGUUUAUUCUAGCCGAGAACUUCAUUGCUGGAAGCUCGGCGAUUGUUUUGUGUUUAGGAUAUUAUUCUCGUGGCUAUGACAAUGUCUACUUUUUGUUUUA
Molecule: long non-coding RNA, 3519 nt
Organism: Salvia splendens (bonfire salvia)
Lineage: Eukaryota; Viridiplantae; Streptophyta; Magnoliopsida; Lamiales; Lamiaceae
Exons: 2
Source: RefSeq, a predicted model, not a curated record